This 261-nucleotide long non-coding RNA is filed under the name Hordeum vulgare. Its description in RNAcentral is "long non-coding RNA (HVUL_LNC020791)". Lineage: Eukaryota; Viridiplantae; Streptophyta; Magnoliopsida; Poales; Poaceae. The record is from RNAcentral.
GGGAACACCAACGCAAGGCUCCAAGGCCACGGGGGAAAUCCUUUGCAUAUUUUCCUAGGAAGUCCCUUAAGGCAUAGCCGUAGCAGAAGGAUUCCUGGUGCCGUCAACACGCCUAUUUCUGGCGCCAUUGGAAGGUCUUUUGUUGCAGUAGCAGAAGUAUUUCUGGCGCCAUUGCCGGGGAAGGAGAGAUCUAUCCAAGUAGGUCUCACAAACUCAUCUCUUGUAUUUACUUUUUUGCGAUUUGCCUCUCGUUUUCCUCUC